This 1609-nucleotide ribosomal RNA is filed under the name Campylobacter coli. RNAcentral describes it as "partial 23S ribosomal RNA". It matches the Rfam family "Bacterial large subunit ribosomal RNA", at positions 1 to 1484 of the family's 2925-position model. The record is from RNAcentral. Lineage: Bacteria; Pseudomonadati; Campylobacterota; Epsilonproteobacteria; Campylobacterales; Campylobacteraceae.
AAAAAAGGUAAGCUACUAAGAGCGAAUGGUGGAUGCCUUGACUGGUAAAGGCGAUGAAGGACGUACUAGACUGCGAUAAGCUACGGGGAGCUGUCAAGAAGCUUUGAUCCGUAGAUUUCCGAAUGGGGCAACCCAAUGUAUAGAGAUAUACAUUACCUAUAUAGGAGCGAACGAGGGGAAUUGAAACAUCUUAGUACCCUCAGGAAAAGAAAUCAAUAGAGAUUGCGUCAGUAGCGGCGAGCGAAAGCGCAAGAGGGCAAACCCAGUGCUUGCACUGGGGGUUGUAGGACUGCAAUGUGCAAGAGGUGAGUUUAGCAGAACAUUCUGGAAAGUAUAGCCAUAGAGGGUGAUAGUCCCGUAUGCGAAAAACAAACCUUAGCUAGCAGUAUCCUGAGUAGGGCGGGACACGAGAAAUCCUGUCUGAAGCUGGGUCGACCACGAUCCAACCCUAAAUACUAAUACCAGAUCGAUAGUGUACAAGUACCGUGAGGGAAAGGUGAAAAGAACUGAGGUGAUCAGAGUGAAAUAGAACCUGAAACCAUUUGCUUACAAUCAUUCAGAGCCCUAUGUAGCAAUACAGGGUGAUGGACUGCCUUUUGCAUAAUGAGCCUGCGAGUUGUGGUGUCUGGCAAGGUUAAGCAAACGCGAAGCCGUAGCGAAAGCGAGUCUGAAUAGGGCGCUUAGUCAGAUGCUGCAGACCCGAAACGAAGUGAUCUAUCCAUGAGCAAGUUGAAGCUAGUGUAAGAACUAGUGGAGGACUGAACCCAUAGGCGUUGAAAAGCCCCGGGAUGACUUGUGGAUAGGGGUGAAAGGCCAAUCAAACUUCGUGAUAGCUGGUUCUCUCCGAAAUAUAUUUAGGUAUAGCGUUGUGUCGUAAUAUAAGGGGGUAGAGCACUGAAUGGGCUAGGGCAUACACCAAUGUACCAAACCCUAUCAAACUCCGAAUACCUUAUAUGUAAUCACAGCAGUCAGGCGGCGAGUGAUAAAAUCCGUCGUCAAGAGGGAAACAACCCAGACUACCAGCUAAGGUCCCUAAAUCUUACUUAAGUGGAAAACGAUGUGAAGUUACUUAAACAACCAGGAGGUUGGCUUAGAAGCAGCCAUCCUUUAAAGAAAGCGUAAUAGCUCACUGGUCUAGUGAUUUUGCGCGGAAAAUAUAACGGGGCUAAAGUAAGUACCGAAGCUGUAGACUUGCGCACAACUUAGAUUAUUUAAGUUUAGAAUAUGAGAAACUAAGUUAUAUGUUUAGUUAUAUUUUUACUGAUUUUUAUAGAGUAAAGAUAGAAAUAAAACUUAGUAAAAUCAGUAAAAAUAUUCUUAGACUAAAGUUAAGUAGUUUAAGUUGUGUGCAAGUGGUAGGAGAGCGUUCUAUUUGCGUCGAAGGUAUACCGGUAAGGAGUGCUGGAGCGAAUAGAAGUGAGCAUGCAGGCAUGAGUAGCGAUAAUUAAUGUGAGAAUCAUUAACGCCGUAAACCCAAGGUUUCCUACGCGAUGCUCGUCAUCGUAGGGUUAGUCGGGUCCUAAGUCGAGUCCGAAAGGGGUAGACGAUGGCAAAUUGGUUAAUAUUCCAAUACCAACAUUAGUGUGCGAUGGAAGGACGCUUAGGGCUA